Molecule: unclassified non-coding RNA, 380 nt
Filed under: soil metagenome
Description: partial contains 5.8S ribosomal RNA, internal transcribed spacer 2, and large subunit ribosomal RNA
Rfam family: 5.8S ribosomal RNA (bases 1-120)
Source: RNAcentral
GAUGAAGAACGUAGUGAAAUGCGAUAAGUAAUGUGAAUUGCAGAAUUCAGUGAAUCAUCGAAUCUUUGAACGCACCUUGCACCCUUUGGCAUUCCGAAGGGUAUGCUCGUUUGAGUGUCAUUGUACUCUCACUCUCCCGAUACUUUUGGAUCGGGAGUGGUGGACUUGGGUGCUGCUGCUUAACUGUGGCUCGCCUUAAAUGAAGUAGUGCAACUCUCGGUUGGACAUAGUACGGCGUGAUAAGUGUCUUCGCCGGCGCCUCAUUCGAGGGUGGCCGAUCGGGAGCUCUGUGCUUCAAACUGUCUUCGGACAACAUCUGACAACUUGACCUCAAAUCGAGGAGGACUACCCGCUGAACUUAAGCAUAUCAAUGCGGAGGA